RNAcentral lists this ribosomal RNA (497 nucleotides) under uncultured bacterium. RNAcentral describes it as "partial 16S ribosomal RNA". It matches the Rfam family "Bacterial small subunit ribosomal RNA", at positions 28 to 507 of the family's 1533-position model. The record is from RNAcentral.
GAUGAACGCUGGCGGCGUGCCUAAUACAUGCAAGUCGAGCGAACAGACGAGGAGCUUGCUCCUCUGACGUUAGCGGCGGACGGGUGAGUAACACGUGGAUAACCUACCUAUAAGACUGGGAUAACUUCGUGAAACCGGAGCUAAUACCGGAUAAUAUAUUGAACCGCAUGGUUCAAUAGUGAAAGACGGUUUUGCUUUCACUUAUAGAUGGAUCCGCGCCGCAUUAGCUAGUUGGUAAGGUAACGGCUUACCAAGGCAACGAUGCGUAGCCGACCUGAGAGGGUGAUCGGCCACACUGGAACUGAGACACGGUCCAGACUCCUACGGGAGGCAGCAGUAGGGAAUCUUCCGCAAUGGGCGAAAGACUGACGGAGCAACGCAGCGUGAGUGAUGAAGGUCUUCGGAUCGUAAAACUCUGUUAUUAGGGAAGAACAAAUGUGUAAGUAACUAUGCACGUCUUGACGGUACCUAAUCAGAAAGCCACGGCUAACUACGUG